This 497-nucleotide ribosomal RNA is filed under the name uncultured bacterium. RNAcentral describes it as "partial 16S ribosomal RNA". It matches the Rfam family "Bacterial small subunit ribosomal RNA", at positions 28 to 507 of the family's 1533-position model. The record is from RNAcentral.
GAUGAACGCUGGCGGCGUGCCUAAUACAUGCAAGUCGAGCGAACAGAUGAGGAGCUUGCUCCUCUGACGUUAGCGGCGGACGGGUGAGUAACACGUGGAUAACCUACCUAUAAGACUGGGAUAACUUCGGGAAACCGGAGCUAAUACCGGAUAAUAUAUUGAACCGCAUGGUUCAAUAGUGAAAGACGGUUUUGCUGUCACUUAUAGAUGGAUCCGCGCCGCAUUAGCUAGUUGGUAAGGUAACGGCUUACCAAGGCAACGAUGCGUAGCCGACCUGAGAGGGGUGUCCGCCACACCGGAACUGGAGAAAGGUCCAGAAUCCUAAGGGAGGCAGCAGUAGGGAAUCUUCCGCAAUGGGCGAAAGCUUGACGGAGCAACGCCGCGUGAGUGAUGAAGGUCUUCGGAUCGUAAAACUCUGUUAUUAGGGAAGAACAAAUGUGUAAGUAACUAUGCACGUCUUGACGGUACCUAAUCAGAAAGCCACGGCUAACUACGUG